RNAcentral lists this transfer RNA (76 nucleotides) under Rhizobiales bacterium PAR1. Its description in RNAcentral is "tRNA-Thr". It matches the Rfam family "tRNA". Rfam says of the family: Transfer RNA (tRNA) molecules are approximately 80 nucleotides in length. Their secondary structure includes four short double-helical elements and three loops (D, anti-codon, and T loops). The record is from RNAcentral. Lineage: Bacteria; Pseudomonadati; Pseudomonadota; Alphaproteobacteria; Hyphomicrobiales.
GCCGCAAUAGCUCAGAUGGUAGAGCACGUCAUUCGUAAUGAUGGGGUCGGGGGUUCGAUUCCCUCUUGCGGCACCA